RNAcentral lists this ribosomal RNA (465 nucleotides) under Vreelandella stevensii. RNAcentral describes it as "partial 16S ribosomal RNA". It matches the Rfam family "Bacterial small subunit ribosomal RNA", at positions 338 to 795 of the family's 1533-position model. Lineage: Bacteria; Pseudomonadati; Pseudomonadota; Gammaproteobacteria; Oceanospirillales; Halomonadaceae. The record is from RNAcentral.
CCUACGGGCGGCAGCAGUGGGGAAUAUUGGACAAUGGGGGCAACCCUGAUCCAGCCAUGCCGCGUGUGUGAAGAAGGCCCUCGGGUUGUAAAGCACUUUCAGUGAGGAAGAACGCCUGGUGGUUAAUACCCAUCAGGAAAGAUAUCACUCACAGAAGAAGCACCGGCUAACUCCGUGCCAGCAGCCGCGGUAAUACGGAGGGUGCGAGCGUUAAUCGGAAUUACUGGGCGUAAAGCGCGCGUAGGUGGCUUGAUAAGCCGGUUGUGAAAGCCCCGGGCUCAACCUGGGAACGGCAUCCGGAACUGUCAAGCUAGAGUGCAGGAGAGGAAGGUAGAAUUCCCGGUGUAGCGGUGAAAUGCGUAGAGAUCGGGAGGAAUACCAGUGGCGAAGGCGGCCUUCUGGACUGACACUGACACUGAGGUGCGAAAGCGUGGGUAGCAAACAGGAUUAGAUACCCCGGUAGUC